Small nuclear RNA from Octodon degus (degu), 107 nucleotides. Lineage: Eukaryota; Metazoa; Chordata; Mammalia; Rodentia; Octodontidae. The record is from Ensembl.
GUGCUCGUUUUGGCAGCGCAUAUACAAAAAUUGGAAUGAUACAGAGAAGAGUAGCGUGGCCCCUGCUCAAGGAUAACACUGAAAUUCAUGAAGCGUUCGGUAUUUUU